Molecule: microRNA, 24 nt
Filed under: Amborella trichopoda
Lineage: Eukaryota; Viridiplantae; Streptophyta; Magnoliopsida; Amborellales; Amborellaceae
Description: atr-miR8579
Source: miRBase by way of RNAcentral
GUGAUGUAGCCCCGUUUAAGAAGG